GGUAAAAUUGUUUAUCAGGUGAAGAUCUGUCUGCCCUAGAAUUUUCAGAUGAAUCGGAUAACCGGUUGUUAAGUUGCUGCCCCUGAAUUGGUAAUUUUAAGGAAAUUUUGCCGUUUUUUUGUUAUUGUUUUGAAUAUUAUUAUAGUUAGAGAUAAACUGUAAACAGCAAUAAUGUACAGCAAAGUAAGACUUAAAAAUAAGUCAACAUGACCAAAAUGGUCAAUUGACCCCCUAAGGAGUUAUUGCCCUUUAUAGUCAAUUUUUAACAAUUUUCAUAAAAUUUCCACUGAAACUACUGGGCUAAGUUCAUUAUAGAUAGAGAUUAUUGUAAGCAGCAAGAAUGUUUAGUAAAGUAAGAUCUACAAACACAUUACCA
Molecule: long non-coding RNA, 376 nt
Filed under: Mytilus galloprovincialis (Mediterranean mussel)
Lineage: Eukaryota; Metazoa; Mollusca; Bivalvia; Mytilida; Mytilidae
Source: RNAcentral